CAGGCCUAACACAUGCAAGUCGAACGAACUCUUCGGAGUUAGUGGCGGACGGGUGAGUAACACGUGGGAACGUGCCUUUAGGUUCGGAAUAACUCAGGGAAACUUGUGCUAAUACCGAAUGUGCCCUUCGGGGGAAAGAUUUAUCGCCUUUAGAGCGGCCCGCGUCUGAUUAGCUAGUUGGUGAGGUAAAGGCUCACCAAGGCGACGAUCAGUAGCUGGUCUGAGAGGAUGAUCAGCCACAUUGGGACUGAGACACGGCCCAAACUCCUACGGGAGGCAGCAGUGGGGAAUCUUGCGCAAUGGGCGAAAGCCUGACGCAGCCAUGCCGCGUGAAUGAUGAAGGUCUUAGGAUUGUAAAAUUCUUUCACCGGGGACGAUAAUGACGGUACCCGGAGAAGAAGCCCCGGCUAACUUCGUGCCAGCAGCCGCGGUAAUACGAAGGGGGCUAGCGUUGCUCGGAAUUACUGGGCGUAAAGGGAGCGUAGGCGGACAUUUAAGUCAGGGGUGAAAUCCCGGGGCUCAACCUCGGAAUUGCCUUUGAUACUGGGUGUCUUGAGUAUGAGAGAGGUGUGUGGAACUCCGAGUGUAGAGGUGAAAUUCGUAGAUAUUCGGAAGAACACCAGUGGCGAAGGCGACACACUGGCUCAUUACUGACGCUGAGGCUCGAAAGCGUGGGGAGCAAACAGGAUUAGAUACCCUGGUAGUCCACGCCGUAAACGAUGAUUGCUAGUUGUCGGGAUGCAUGCAUUUCGGUGACGCAGCUAACGCAUUAAGCAAUCCGCCUGGGGAGUACGGUC
Molecule: ribosomal RNA, 797 nt
Filed under: bacterium RBA-1-31
Lineage: Bacteria
Description: bacterial SSU rRNA
Rfam family: Bacterial small subunit ribosomal RNA
Source: RNAcentral